GACGAACGCUGGCGGCGUGCCUAAUACAUGCAAGUUGAGCGCUGAAGGUUGGUACUUGUACCAACUGGAUGAGCAGCGAACGGGUGAGUAACGCGUGGGGAAUCUGCCUUUGAGCGGGGGACAACAUUUGGAAACGAAUGCUAAUACCGCAUAAAAACUUUAAACACAAGUUUUAAGUUUGAAAGAUGCAAUUGCAUCACUCAAAGAUGAUCCCGCGUUGUAUUAGCUAGUUGGUGAGGUAAAGGCUCACCAAGGCGAUGAUACAUAGCCGACCUGAGAGGGUGAUCGGCCACAUUGGGACUGAGACACGGCCCAAACUCCUACGGGAGGCAGCAGGAGGGAAUCUUCGGCAAUGGACGAAAGUCUGACCGAGCAACGCCGCGUGAGUGAAGAAGGUUUUCGGAUCGUAAAACUCUGUUGGUAGAGAAGAACGUUGGUGAGAGUGGAAAGCUCAUCAAGUGACGGUAACUACCCAGAAAGGGACGGCUAGCCACGUG
Molecule: ribosomal RNA, 497 nt
Filed under: uncultured bacterium
Lineage: Bacteria
Description: partial 16S ribosomal RNA
Rfam family: Bacterial small subunit ribosomal RNA
Source: RNAcentral